CUGUGUGGGGAGGCUAUGAAGAGGUGGUCCCCUGGGCUGACAGCUCCAGGUGGGGCCCAUCCAACAGCCGACAUCAACUUCCAACCAAGUGAGUCCAGCCUCCUCCAGCCUCAGUCAAGCGGCCCCAGAUGAUGGCAUGCAGACCAGAGAAGAGCUGUCCCUGCCAACACCUCCCCAUGUUACAGAAUCUUGAGCAAAUAUGCUGGGAAAGCAGGCUCCCAUAGCAGCCCCGGUGAGAGAUAAGGGCUCUUUGCCUGAAAUGAAAAAUUCAUGAAGGAAGACUAGGGAUCAGGCACUAGGAGAGCCGCCAAGUUGCUGUGCUCUAGGGACGUGGCAAGAAGCUGGAAAAGCCAAAUGGAAAUUUUCUUUCCUCUCCAGCACCUCCCUCAGGCUCCCCUUCCGUGUUCAGCGGGGCUCCUUUCGCCCCUGUAGCCACCCACACCUCCGCAGUCUCAUUUGAGACUCCAGGCCAGCACCGGCAAUGCCCAUGUGCCAGGGCAUUCAGGAAGAGGGAUACUGCUCUGUACCCAGACCGGGCAUCCACCACCAGCCUCAGUAAAAUGUGUACUAUUGCUAGAGCAAGCUGGCACAGUCCUGACCACCUGCCAACCCCAAAACUGGAGAAGCCCCAAACUGGCUAUUAUUUGCCCCUAGAGGUACCCCUGUCUCCAGAUGACUUCCAAUUCCAAUUCCCUGACCCACAAAUCUAACCAAAAUUCAUAAGAUUGAUCAGAUGAUCGUACUUACAACUUGAAGAGGAAACCUUGAAUCUGUUGUCACCACGCUGGGCAGGCAAUGGUUUAUAGAGCUAUUAAAGUGGAGACUUCCUGGUGGUGCACUGGCUAAGACUACUCCCAAUGCACUGGACCCGGGUUUGAUCCCUGGUCAGUGACCUAGAUCCCACAUGCCACAACCAAGAGUUUGCAAGCUACAACUAAAGAUGUGCUGUAACUAAAACCUGGUGAAGCC
Long non-coding RNA from Bos taurus (domestic cattle), 969 nucleotides. NCBI's taxonomy places the organism in Eukaryota, Metazoa, Chordata, Mammalia, Artiodactyla, Bovidae. The record is from Ensembl.